AGGCAGACAGCGGCGGCGAGGCGCGCAGCGGCGGCGCAGGCGCGGAGAGGCGCUGGCGCCGGCUCUGGCGCGGAGAGGUGCAGGCCCAGGCUCCACUCCCCAGCUGUGAAAGGGUAAGAACCGAGGGUGGCUGAGACUCGGGGUUGUUCAGGGCGGGGUGGGCUCUGGACCCAGCAGGCCCGGCACCCAGGUCAGGGCUCCAGGGGAGGCCAGGUGGGCGAAGGCCAAGAAGGGGCUGGGGCUGGUCAGGAAGGGCUCCUGGUGACCAGAGCACUUUGCGUGAGCCAGCGUGGGAGGAAGGUGGGCUAGAUGAGCCAGGGAGGCGCCGGGAGGGGCCUUGGCAGAGGCGACCCCCUCCGUCACCCCCAGGCCACUGAACCCUGGGUAGCGAGAACCGACAGGGGAGGCUGCAGACAGAGGAGUGGAGGCUCCCCGGCUUUGGGGGCUCUGAGUAGAAGCAUCUAGGGGGUCCCUCAAGAGGCCCCCAAACGCUUCCCCAUGGUGAGAAAAGAAGGCGCAGAGAGGGGCACGGCGCCGGCGCAGAGGGGCACACAGCGAGAUUUGCUGUGAGUUCUUUUAUUGCCCCAAGUGUACCUCAUCUUGGUAGAUUUCUAUUGGCUUUAAAAAUGUGUGUGUUUUGCUGUUGGGGAGUGGGGUGUUAUACGGAUGUCAGAUUUUGCUGGUUGACUGUUCAGAUCUUUUGUAAAUCCUUGCUCCUUUUCUGCCUAGUUUCACUCUGUCACUUACACUAGAGUGCGGUGGCACGAACAUGACUCACUGCAGCCUUGACUUCCUAGGGUCAAGUACUCCCCCUGGCUUAAUCUCCUGAGUAGCUGGUACUAUAGGUGUGUGCCGCCACACCUGGCUAAAUUUAAAAUUUUUUGGAGAGAUGAGGCCUUGCUAUGUUGCCCAGGCUCGAACUCCUGGCCUCAAGCUAUCCUUUGUUUUUGCCUCCCAGAGUUCUGGGAUUACAGGCAUGAGCCACUGUGCCCGGCCUCUGCCUAGUUUUAACAGUUGCUAAGAGGAGGAUGUUGAAGUAGAUGUCUUCUUGGUGGGUUAAUCCUUUUGUCAUUAAGCAGUUGUUAUGGUCACUUCCUUUUCACCCCAUUGGUGAAGGAGGGGUCCCUGCCCUAAAGUGUAGGAGAUGGCCGAACAUGACACCUGGCGUGGAUGGAUGAGAUUGACAGCAGUGUUUUAGUCGCAUAUACCCACAGCUCGGAGGAGGACACUGCAUGCCACACAGGGUCAGAUGGGCACCGCACUCUGUAGUGGAGUGAGGGCUGCGGGCUGAGGAAGCAGGCGGGCUUGGUAGUAACAAGAGCACACGAUGACCAAUGGUUCCCGAGGGGGAAUGCAAUUGGCUUGUUUGAAUAAAUUCAUGGGCUGGCAGACAGGUGAAGCGAAACUUCUUAGGCUGAGGUGCAACUGUUCUGGCUGAUAAAAGAACUAGCCAGGUGGGGAGCCUUUCCUGUUGGGUGGCGGGGUAGGGGGUGUCUGGUAGAAACAGGAAAACCCACGGCUAGGCCUUUGGGGCCCUGUGAGGCUCAAAGAUGUCAAGGCAGCAUAGGAAAUUUUAGAUCUUAAAAUUCAGCGAAGACCCUCUCCAGCUCUGGUUUUCUGCCUCCUGCUAAGCCAAUUUAUACAUUCCAAGAAAAUCUUCCAUUUCAUCCAGGUGAAACGGAACCUACUGGAAUGAAGCUGGCCUCCCAUGGAAUGAAGCUGGCCUCCCGUCUCCUUGAUUUGAAGCAGCUUCUCCACGUUGGUUAUUAUGCCAUUUUUCUAAAUCUAACAUUUUAAAAUUUGUGCCUUUUCUUUCUCUUUUGCUUGACUUCUCAGAGGUUUUUUUAACGGUCUUUUCAAAGAAGUGGUUUUGGGUUUUAUUUAUCAAGUCUACUUUUAUUAUGGCUGUUUUAAAAUUAAAUACAUUUA
Molecule: long non-coding RNA, 1929 nt
Filed under: Homo sapiens (human)
Lineage: Eukaryota; Metazoa; Chordata; Mammalia; Primates; Hominidae
Description: HSALNT0304052
Source: RNAcentral